This is a long non-coding RNA of Alosa alosa (allis shad), 608 nucleotides long. RefSeq lists it as uncharacterized. NCBI's taxonomy places the organism in Eukaryota, Metazoa, Chordata, Actinopteri, Clupeiformes, Clupeidae. The record is from RefSeq and is a predicted model, not a curated record. The transcript has 3 exons.
CCUAGGCUACCAAGUACGAUUUAAAUAUCUAUCACCUAAACUAUCUAGGCUACUAAGCAGUGUAAGGAAUAUCUGUUAGAUUAUGUUGAACGUAAUCUGCUUUGAUACAAAUUGUUCGCUGAAUAAUUCGGAAUCACUCUGAGAGGAGGGGGAUUUCAACAGAUAACGCACCCCGGCUUUCACUUCAUGCAGAAUAUUCUACAAACACGCAACAAAGAACAGGUGUUCGUCUUAAAGGCAGGAGCCAAAAGCUCCGAAUUCACACAAUUAAAUUGCGCCCCCUGCUGUCAACACAUGGAAGAAACAAGAAUGCUUUCAGAGCCACUGUGCUCUUUAUGAAAACACAGUUCCCAGGCAAUCUGCUGAGAAACAUGGCCUAAUAAGCAGCAGGGCCUUGAUACAAGGCAAUGAUUCAAAUGAAACAUACAGCCAAACCAAGAAAGAGAUGGUUAACAGAAAACGAUAUCAACAGUCGCCCACCCAGCGUCAAGACCUGAAUGCAAUCAACAAUCUAUGGAAGGAGCUAAAGACCAGAGUGAUUUCAGAGUACUUUUGGACAUGGCACUUUUCAUGAAAAUCAAAUCUGAUAAAAUAAAUGAAUAAAUAUA